GNCUUAGAGUUUGAUCAUGGCUCAGGAUGAACGCUGGCGGCGUGCUUAACACAUGCAAGUCGAACGGACGUAAGGAGCUUGCUCCUUGCGUUAGUGGCGGACGGGUGAGUAACACGUGAGCAAUCUGCCCAUGUCAGGGGGAUAACAGUUAGAAAUGACUGCUAAUACCGCAUAUGACCACAGAGAGGCAUCUCUCAGGGGUGAAAGAUUUUAUCGGACAUGGAUGAGCUCGCGUCCCAUUAGGCAGUUGGCGGGGUAACGGCCCACCAAACCUACGAUGGGUAGCCGGCCUUAGAGGGUGAUCGGCCACAUUGGAACUGAGAUACGGUCCAAACUCCUACGGGAGGCAGCAGUGGGGAAUAUUGGGCAAUGGAGGCAACUCUGACCCAGCAACGCCGCGUGAGUGAUGAAGGUCUUCGGAUUGUAAAACUCUUUAAGUAGGGACGAAGAAAGUGACGGUACCUACAGAAUAAGCCUCGGCUAACUACGUGCCAGCAGCCGCGGUAAUACGUAGGAGGCAAGCGUUAUCCGGAAUGACUGGGCGUAAAGGGUGCGUAGGUGGUUUGGCAAGUUGGUAGCGUAAUCCCGGGGCUUAACUUCGGUGCUACUACCAAAACUGCUGGGCUUGAGUGCAGGAAGGGGUGAAUG
RNAcentral lists this ribosomal RNA (648 nucleotides) under uncultured organism. RNAcentral's name for it is "bacterial SSU rRNA". It matches the Rfam family "Bacterial small subunit ribosomal RNA", at positions 1 to 664 of the family's 1533-position model. The record is from RNAcentral.